This 260-nucleotide ribosomal RNA is filed under the name uncultured bacterium. Its description in RNAcentral is "partial 16S ribosomal RNA". It matches the Rfam family "Bacterial small subunit ribosomal RNA", at positions 524 to 777 of the family's 1533-position model. The record is from RNAcentral.
UACGUAGGGCGCGAGCGUUGUCCGGAUUUAUUGGGCGUAAAGAGCUCGUAGGCGGCUUGUUGCGUCGGCUGUGAAAACCCAUGGCUCAACCGUGGGCUUGCAGCCGAUACGGGCAGGCUAGAGUUCGGUAGGGGGAGACUGGAAUUCCUGGUGUAGCGGUGAAAUGCGCAGAUAUCAGGAGGAACACCGGUGGCGAAGGCGGGGUCUCUGGGGCCGAAUACUGACGCUGAGGAGCGAAAAGCGUGGGGGAGCGAACAGGG